This 786-nucleotide long non-coding RNA is filed under the name Pan troglodytes (chimpanzee). RNAcentral's name for it is "lincRNA". The record is from RNAcentral. Lineage: Eukaryota; Metazoa; Chordata; Mammalia; Primates; Hominidae.
GGGACCACACUUCACAAAAGGGAGCAAGAAGGCAGAUAACGGCAAAGAAAAAUGUUUGUAGUUUACUGUGGAGGACCAAGUGAGUUUAUACAGAUGUUUACCUGCUUUGGGAUUAUUUGCUGCUGGCUAGAAUGAAAAGACAAACAUUCCCUUCAAACAGUAUGCCAUUGCCUAAUAAUUUUGCAAACUCAAAUGAAAUCCAACCAAAUUCAGAAUUUAGAUUUUCCUACUGGCUUGUGUAAUUUUUGUUUGUAUGGGAUAGAAUCAGGUUCCAUCUUUUAUUCUCCUUCACAAUAUCAUUAACAAAGAAAACUUUGAAUGUUAGCUGGUGGGAUAGAUACAUUGACACUGUUUACAUAGCACUGUUUCCUACUCGGGCCUGCACACAAACAUUCGCACACAUUUUCAUGUACACACACUCCUGCGGAGGUCAAUGAAUAUUACAAUUCUUCUUCUGGAAAUAAUCCUUAAGAAUGAAUGAGCAAAAGACACAGUUUUCAACCCUAUUUUCUCUUCUCUUUCUCUCUUUUUCUUCCCUCUGUUCUUUCUCUCUCUCUCUUUUUUCCUUCUUUUUAUUUUUUUCUUCCUGGAGAGGUUUCUGAAGUUCAACAGUGAUUCUUUAAUUAAGAGAAAAAAAAAACCACACAUACACACACUAGAGAACAAGAAGGAAUAGUAAACAGUUCCCUCCACUGCUAGAGGGGUUAGUUACAAAAUAAACAUUUCACAGACUGGACCACAUCUCCUGUAAUGAGACAGCUCUGGCUAGUGAGACUGCAGCUAAAG